RNAcentral lists this ribosomal RNA (495 nucleotides) under uncultured bacterium. RNAcentral's name for it is "partial 16S ribosomal RNA". It matches the Rfam family "Bacterial small subunit ribosomal RNA", at positions 28 to 507 of the family's 1533-position model. The record is from RNAcentral.
GACGAACGCUGGCGGCGUGCCUAAUACAUGCAAGUCGAACGCUGAAGUAGGAGCUUGCUCUUCUGGAUUAGUUGCGAACGGGUGAGUAACGCGUAGGUAACCUGCCUGUUACCGGGGGAUAACUAUUGGAAACGAUAGCUAAUACCGCAUAACAUUAGUCGUUGCAUGACAUUUACUUAAAAGGUUCAAUUGCAUCACUACUAGAAGCACCUGCGUUGUAUUAGCUAGUUGGUGGGCUAACGGCUCACCAAGCCGACGAUACAUAGCCGACCUGAAAGGGGAAUCGGCCACGCUGGGACGGGAACACGGCCCAGCAUCCUACGGGAGGCAGCAGGCGGGGAUCUCCGGCAGUGGACGGAAGUCGGACCAAUCAACGCCGGGCGAGUGACUGAGGUUUUCAGGUCGUGAAAGUCAUGUGUGAGCGAGGGUCGGAUAGGAGAGUGGAAAGGGCAGACAGUGACGGUAUCGGAACAAAAAGGUACGGCUAACUACGUG